GAUGAACGCUGGCGGCGUGCCUAAUACAUGCAAGUCGAGCGAACAGACGAGGAGCUUGCUCCUCUGACGUUAGCGGCGGACGGGUGGGUAACACGUGGAUAACCUACCUAUAAGACUGGGAUAACUUCGGGAAACCGGAGCUAAUACCGGAUAAUAUAUUGAACCGCAUGGUUCAAUAGUGAAAGACGGUUUUGCUGUCACUUAUAGAUGGAUCCGCGCCGCAUUAGCUAGUUGGUAAGGUAACGGCUUACCAAGGCAACGAUGCGUAGCCGACCUGAGAGGGUGAUCGGCCACACUGGAACUGAGACACGGUCCAGACUCCUACGGGAGGCAGCAGUAGGGAAUCUUCCGCAAUGGGCGAAAGCAUGACGGAGCAACGCCGCGUGAGUGAUGAAGGUCUUCGGAUCGUAAAACUCUGUUAUUAGGGAAGAACAAAUGUGUAAGUAACUAUGCACGUCUUGACGGUACCUAAUCAGAAAGCCACGGCUAACUACGUG
Molecule: ribosomal RNA, 497 nt
Filed under: uncultured bacterium
Lineage: Bacteria
Description: partial 16S ribosomal RNA
Rfam family: Bacterial small subunit ribosomal RNA
Source: RNAcentral